Molecule: long non-coding RNA, 3621 nt
Filed under: Oncorhynchus mykiss (rainbow trout)
Lineage: Eukaryota; Metazoa; Chordata; Actinopteri; Salmoniformes; Salmonidae
Description: lncRNA (ENSOMYG00000065157.1)
Source: RNAcentral
AUGUGUAUCAAAUCUAUUGGAUCUUGUGUACACUAUGCUGUCCAAAGCACAGACACAUGUUUUUAUUCCUAUUUCUAUGGUCCAAUAAUGACACAAGGUGAAACCAUGGCAAUGAACUCUGGAUUUAAGUAUUUACCAUUAUUUCCUACCAUAGGCAUUGACAGACAUGAUACAUUCUUCCUAUUUGGAGAUAUUGCUAUGGAAACUGGGAUUCGGAAUGUUUCUCCAUGCACGGCUCGAGAUUGCAAGUGGCUUAAAAAAGCAAGAAUGGGGUGGUGCCUGUGUAUAUCUCCUCUUUGUAUAGUGCUGGUCAUAUUUGGGUGGUCAGCAGGUGAUCUCCUUACAGCAGCGUGGCUGUGUCCCAUCAUGGUGCAGUCCAGCAUGAAGUCCUGCAUGCUCUGGGCUUCCACCAUGAGCAGAACUGCGGUGACCGGGACAAUAAUGUCACCGUUGUCACAGAGAACAUCAGCAAAGGUAAGGGGCCUCCACUUUCACUUUGUUUUAGAGGUUGCUAAUGUGUUUCUAUCGUCAGACUGGCAAUACUAAUGUCUUAUCACAGUGAAACAUGUAUCUCUAAAUCUCUUCUUUUAGGCAAGGAACACAUCUUCAGAAAGGUGGAAACCAAUCAUUUGAUGAUUCCGUAUGACUACACCUCUGUGAUGCACUAUGGAAGGUCAGCUUCUAGGACUAUCUGUAUUUAUUCAAGCAAAAAAUAAACCUUCAAUCUCCCACCUACAGGGAUGCUACAGUUGUACAUGUACUAUGCAAUGGUUUGUCUUCCAGGUAUGCAUUCGCUAAAGGUUAUGGUAAGCUGCCAACUAUCAUUCCAAAGCCAGACUCUAGUGUUCAGAUCGGAGGGGCCCGACAGAUGAGUCGCCAGGACAUCGUGAGGGUGAACAGGUUGUACUACUUGCAGAGAGUAUUGGGCUUUAUUAUACUAUAUCUUACAAUGGAAAAUACAUGUUUUCUUUCAAUCGUGUGUUUCAUAACAUGAGAAUAAAUGGGUUUUUUUUUGUGAACUUUGUCAACACUGCUGAUGAUGUUGUGCCUUUUUUAUGUUUCUUUUUUGUAUGUUCACCCCAAUAGGAGGACACUUGAAUAAAUGAAUUUAGAAGACUGCAUCAGAUAUUUCAACCAACAACUAUUUGAAAUAAAAUCAAAUGGCAGCUAAUCAAUUAGCUUUCUGGAUGAGGUCAAAUUCACUUGGCACAAUACUCAUCGCUUUAUGUUGUGUUGUGGAUGCUUCACCACCCAGUUGGUUGCAAUUAUUCUCUCACCCAAAUGUUUAAAAAAAAUUGUUGUCUUUUUGACACUGUUAUAGAUAUUAUUUUGGGUGAUUGUGAGACAUUCAGUACUCAAUGUUCUAUUGCGUUGGUUGUGUGGUUAAUGUUAAUGUGAUUUCAUAUCCUGUGUUUCCCCCAUUUAUUAGCAUUCAGAAUCUUGACGGUUACUGCACUGCCUUCAUAUUUGCUCAAUAAAAGCUCACUGUAUAUAUGCCAAGUGACAGUGUAUUUGUUACACUAGGUGGCAUCUGAAUCUCAUGUAUAGUACAUACAUUAAAGAAAUAAUGUUUCCAUUCAUGUAUAGAAUUCAUUAGCAUUUGGAUAGAUUUUGCAUCUUCCCCUACACCUCCAAUCAAACUAGUGACUUUUCUACUAAAAGAUGAGCACAUAUACCACACACAUACAUAUACCACACACAUAUACACAAAAAAUGGGUGUCAGACAUGAAUAAGCCAAACGUCCAACAACAAAAAAUCUAGAAUCCGUACAUCCAAGCAUCCAGAAAUAUACUGAAACAUGUCUGCCUCAUGUUCCAAGAGUAGAAACCGUUCCCAAGAGAACCAGCCACCUCCAGGUAAAUCACACAGUCGGGGGACCUGUCAGUGACUCACUGGUGCCAUCACCAACCUGAUAAUUGGCUUUGUCAAAGCUUUGUCUCACAUUCGGCGAUGGGUUAGGUGGAGGCAGCGAAUAAAAUGGGAAACGAGUCAAGUACUGUACCCACACAGGACUAUUUAGACCUAGAAGAACAGGGACAGUAAAAAGAAAACAUUGCAACAAAUACAAUUGGCCUUUUUCUUUUUUAUGUGCAGCUUCUACGAGUUGUAUGGGCUUGUCUACUAUCUAAUGUUCCUCCACCGUAGAUUUCUUUUUAGAGACGGGUAUGUGCUCGUUCAGUAGAUUGGACACAAAAUGUGGUGAUGUUGUAAAAUCAUGGCACAUUAAAUGUGGUUGCGUCACUGCUGUAAGCUAUGGCAGGAAGCUUUGGAGUGUACGCUGAGCUUAGCAAGCCUGGAGGAGUUGGGCAGCCCACAGUCCCCAUUUACUUUCAGCCUCAACACCUCCUGCUCGGCUCCGACUGUGAGCUGGAGAGGAGGGGUGUCUGCCACAGGGAUUGAAAAAGUGGUUCAAAGCACAGCAGAAUGCUCAUCCAUUGAACUGAUAAGAGAACUUUUUAUCUUCCUUCCCUUGCUCCAUCUCUCUCUCUCUCCUUCCCCCUCCUGCUGCUCUUGUUUUACUCGAGUUAAAUUACUCAACACACUAGCAAAUACAUCUUUAUAUGAGCUCUUCUCACUCCAUGCUCUGACAUUUUUUUUUCCUUCAUGCUUUGAAUUAAAUUUUGGGUGCAGUCAUGCUCAAACAUCAACAAAAACUCCCCUGCAGAGCUGGAGAUGACAUUUUAGAGGUGUGUGUUUGCUUCUUAACUCUUCCAAACAUUCUGUAGACUAAGUAGUGUCAGUGUUUACUAUUAAUAUACACACCAAUGGCUCCAAGGGUCUAAUGAACUGGCCUGUAUUUGUCCUCUAAUUAUUUACUCUGAGGAAAGCAGUUGAAUUUGAUAUUAUUUAUGAUGACGACAGGCUGCAGUUCCCAACAUUAUAAAGGAUGACCAUAUGGGGAUAGAGUAUUUUGAAACCUCUAGGUGUCAUGAUUCAUGUACUCAAUUCCCAUGUGAUCAGUGGCAGCUUACAUUUGCAUAUGCCAGUCAAUUAAUAUGCGAUUUAAAUCCAUUAUCUAACCAGGAUGAUUUAGGUUGUGUGAUGGUUACAGAUGGGCAAUGGAGGAGAAAGACAUAAAAUGACAAAUGAAAGGGAUUACGGUAAGUGGCACACACAUUCAACAUUCAGUACAAUUUUUUUUAGUAGGCACAAAUUAUUCAGUUAAUUUAUUACAUUUAGCUAUUCUUUCUGGGUAUUUGCCAUUUUAAAAUUCUGCUUACAGCCAUCAGGUUUUUAUAAAAGCUGCUGACCUAACUCCAUGUGCACAGGAGUAGCCUUCAAUCCUCCCUAUGUGCCACUGACCCGCAUGAGUGUCAAAACCCCACAUACACAUGAAUAAUUGAGAAGUUGUAUUUUUGGCCUUUGAAGAUAUUGGAUGUCGAAUGGGUACCGUAUGCUAGGCCAGCGCUAUAGACAGCUCUCCUAGUGACACAGCUUGCCAGCUUGUAGCCCUAAAAAAACAAAUGAGUCACUGGUUCCUUCAGCCAUUCCAAUGGGGAAAGAAUAAGGUUUUGGGAUAAAUGCUGGGGGAAGAAAGGUCUGCGGUUAACACAGGCAGAGGAGAUUUCUUAUACCUUUUUGUUCUAUGACAUAUCAGUGAGGUAGCAUGACUUUUAUGA